AAAGGCAGUGCUUUAAUGCCUUUCUAGUUGCCGUGUUAAUAUUUCUUUCCGCGAUAUCCAACUUAUCUACGUGGGGGGUCAUUUAGCUCCAAGUAGAUCCGGAAAAUGUUGAUUCUCUCCUCUUCUUAUUGUGGUAUAAAAUGUUUUUUGUCUCAUUUCAUUUACAUUGGGAAAUAGAGAAACGAUCAUUGUGUUUUGUUAGUUUUAAAAACUUUUGAUAUAUUUGUAUUUUACAUUAUAAGCAGUCAACCGAUUGACAAACUAGAAUUAUUUGAAUUCCGUGUGGAAAGAGGUCGGGUUAAUUUCGAGUGUUAUCUGCAAUCUAGAUGUUUAUAAAUCAUUUCAGUCAUUGAUAUACUAAUUAAAGGUCGACUGAACAUGAAUUAUAUUAUACAAUUUAAAGCGCAUUUCUGUUUAUGCACGCGAACCCGUCUAACGUUAUUGUUAUUUCGCAGUUAUAUUAAGUAGCAAAUUAUCGUUCCUGAAUAGGUGGCGCCGUGGUAGCCGAUCCUGUACUUCAACUUCCGGUUUCUGCACUGUGCAACUAUUACAGUUGCAUUUUUAAUUAACGAUGCCAAGUACUUGUUGUUGUGUACCUGGAUGUCAUUUAAGAGGAGGACAUGCAUUUCCAAAUGACUUAAAAAGAAGGAAAAGUUGGAUCAACGCCAUGGCCCAUACGCAGAUUGGACGAGAACACGAUGAAAUCGUGGAGUCCAUCUCAAUCAGCUGUUGUUUGCAAGGCACAUUUUACUGAAAAAGACUACGUGCAGGAAACUAUUCAUGGGCACAAACCCACCAUACAGAGACUUAAGUCUACUGCCAAUCCCAGCCUAUUUUCCUGGACCAAGCAAGAGACUGAAUCGUCCGCAAAAAGAAAAAUCAGGGCAGUUUCCUGUGAAAACAAAAGAACUAAACUUGAUCAAUAUUGUAGUAGAAAUCUAGAGGAAAGUUUUGAUUGUAAAGUUGGUUUUCCUGAAGAAGUAAUUCAUACUGCAGACAGGAUUUAUGACUGUCCACCACCAACUGCGAACUAAUGUUGAGCUUCACAGAUGGAAUUACGCAAACACCAUCAAUGCCUAUAUUUUCAGCAGAGAAUUUUGAAAUGAAGACACGUGACACAGCCAUGCAUUUUUAUACCGGUUUAGAGUUGUAUACUAAAUUUUUAUUUGUUUUGACCACACUUGGUCCAACAGCACAUUGUUUGAGAUACAUAUAUUUUCAAAUUGAUAGGGUGUCAUUUGAAAAUCAGUUUUUUUAUGACUUUGAUGAAAUUGAUGCAUUAUACAACCAACUUUGAACUGUCUAGAUUCUAGAUUGAAACUAGUGUUAAGAAUAUUGUGUAAACAUGGAUUGUUUUUAUGUCUAAACAGUGGCGUGAGGCUAACACUUGGCCAUUUAGUGGUUUAGUCAGGUAUUUUUCGCCAUCCAACUUAGAAUUAAAGUUUCCUACAACUUGGAUUAUUAUUGACAGCACAGAAUAUCCCGUGAUAAAACCUAAAGCUCCUAGAGCUCAGGCAACCUUUUCAUCAUAUAAAAACAGAAACACUGAAAAUACUUGUAUGUUCGACACCUGGUGGUUUAGUCAACUAUGUCUCUAAUGCAUAUGUUGGUUGUACCAGUGACUGUGAAAUAGUUGAAAGAUGUAGAAUAGUUCAAUUAUGUGAUCCAGGUGACAGUGUGAUGGCAGACAAAGGUUUAAAUGUGCAAGAUUUGUUUGCUCACUUUUUUCAAAAAAAGAAACAGAAUUAGUUCCAAAAGUCUUAUACGGGAUAGAAAAGUCUCCAAUUAACACGUGCACAUAGAGCUAAUUAUUGGACUUGGCAAAACAUACAAAAUUCUAAUAAAUCCUAUGAAUGGAACUGAAACAAAACUUUCAUCUGAAAUAACAUUUAGUUGUUUUAUGUUGUGUAAUUUUAGAACUUGUAUUGUGUCAAAGGAUGCAUAAAUAAAAGUGACGCAAUGAA
Long non-coding RNA from Mytilus californianus (California mussel), 1964 nucleotides. RefSeq lists it as uncharacterized. The transcript has 2 exons. NCBI's taxonomy places the organism in Eukaryota, Metazoa, Mollusca, Bivalvia, Mytilida, Mytilidae. The record is from RefSeq and is a predicted model, not a curated record.